RNAcentral lists this ribosomal RNA (492 nucleotides) under uncultured eubacterium WR161. RNAcentral's name for it is "bacterial SSU rRNA". It matches the Rfam family "Bacterial small subunit ribosomal RNA", at positions 9 to 527 of the family's 1533-position model. The record is from RNAcentral.
GAGUUUGAUCAUGGCUCAGGACGAACGCUUGCGACGUGCCUAAGAAAUGCAAGUCGAACGGGGUAGCAAUACCUAGUGGCGAACGGUCGCGUAACACGUGGGCAACCUGCCUUGAAGCGGGGGACAACAAUCCGAAAGGGUUGCUAAUACCGCAUGUAAACUCUUGUGGCAUCACGAGAUGUUCAAAGCUUUAUGCACUUCAAGAUGGGCCCGCGGCCUAUCAGCUAGUUGGCGGGGUAACGGCCCACCAAGGCUUCGACGGGUAGCUGGUCUGAGAGGACGAUCAGCCGGAUUGGGACUGAGAUACGGCCCAGACUCCUACGGGGGGCAGCAAUUAGGAAUCUUGCGCAAUGGGGGCAACCCUGACGCAGCGACGUCGCGUGGAGGAUGAAAUCUUUCGGGAUGUAAACUCCUUUUACCAGGGAAGAAACAAAUGACGGUACCUGGUGAAUAAGCCCCGGCUAACUACGUGCCAGCAGCCGCGGUAAUACG